CAUAUACUCCCUCCGUCCCAUAUUAAGUGACUUUAUAUAUAUUACAUGUAUCUAGAUGCUUUUUAGGCAUAGAUACAUUCAUAUUUGGGCAAAUUUGAGUUACUUAAUAUGGGACGGAGGGAGAUUCG
This is a non-coding RNA of Brachypodium distachyon (stiff brome), 128 nucleotides long. The record is from Rfam. NCBI's taxonomy places the organism in Eukaryota, Viridiplantae, Streptophyta, Magnoliopsida, Poales, Poaceae.